UACGUAGGUGGCGAGCGUUGUCCGGAUUUACUGGGCGUAAAGAGCGCGCAGGCGGUCGUACAAGUUGCGUGUGAAAGCCCCCGGCUCAACUGGGGAGGGUCAUUCGAUACUGCUCGGCUCGAAGACAGGAGAGGGAAGUGGAAUUCCCGGUGUAGUGGUGAAAUGCGUAGAUAUCGGGAGGAACACCAGUGGCGAAGGCGACUUUCUGGCCUGUUCUUGACGCUGAGGCGCGAAAGCUAGGGGAGCAAACGGG
Molecule: ribosomal RNA, 253 nt
Filed under: uncultured bacterium
Lineage: Bacteria
Description: partial 16S ribosomal RNA
Rfam family: Bacterial small subunit ribosomal RNA
Source: RNAcentral